UAAUAACAAUUAUUAUUUGUAAUAACAAAUUAUUUCUUGAUCAGCAGGGCGGCAACUCCUCUGGUACGAACAGUGGCCAUUCAGACAGAUUACAGAUCCCUACAGUCCUGAAUAUGUGGCAUGCCCCGGAUCCAUUCCUGAGCUGCUGACUCUUGCCAAUCUUACUGGGGCCGUGGGCUUCCUGCUGGGCUAGUAGAAGUGGAGAUGAUGGAGAGAGCCAGGCAUGGCAACUCUACCCUCCCCUCAGUGACAUCUCUCAGCUGGAGAAGAGGAGGAAGAUGAUGGAUGUGCAGGAGAGGAAGGACUGGGCCUUUAGAGAGAAGGAGAUUGAGCAACUGCAAGAAGCGCAUCUGGAAGUGCUGAAGAGACUUUUGCAGAAGAAAGAGAGGAGAAGCAAAAAGAGAUCGAUACAAAGAGACUGGACUCAUGUUGGUCUAAGCUCCAGGCGGGGAAAGAAGAGCGAAUCAAACAGAUCCACAAACAGCACAUUACAGGUAUAGAGAGGCAGUAACACAGAUACCCCAACAACUCACAGACAGUAUGGCAACACUUUUAUAUUGCCCUGACUGGUAAAGUGAGCUGGGCACAAUCAUGGCAGUGCUACAGGAUUCAUAAUUUACCGUAUACUACUUUGUGUGCCAUUUAUUCACAGCAACUCAAUGCUACUCAUUACUUUUAGUUAGUCCCAUCUGGUCUGCUGCUUAUACAUCAGAUGGACUUAGGAAUUGAUCUACUAAGCAUGAAAUCUGACCUCAUUUUUUAUUACCCGCAUCAACAUCCCCUCUAGGUAAAGGGAAUAAAGUAAUUAUGGGAUAGAAUUCUAUGUACUUCCUAUAUUUGGGAUGUUCUCUUUCCCAUGAUUUGGUAGGAGAUGGGCCAAGGACCUGUUAGGGUUUCCAGCACUGACGAAUCUCUACAUUCCAGCCAGAGAAAGUAGAGUAAAGUGGUUUGGUGGCAUCUCCCGAUAGUAGUGGAUCUUACAACAGACUCUGUCUCUAUCUGCGUUGGAUCCCCUGCAAUCAGGAAACUGAUGGGUAAAACGAACAAUGUAGAAGGCAAACUGUUUUUCCAGAACCGUGCUGGCUUUUUUAACAAAGUCCAAUCUAGCCUUUCUAUUCUUGAUGCUUAUGAGUGGCUUGCACCUUGCAGUGCAUCCUCUGUAUUUGCUUUCAUGCAGUUUUCUAUUAGGGUCAGGGCACACAGACAGA
Xenopus laevis (African clawed frog) is the source of this 1208-nucleotide long non-coding RNA. RefSeq lists it as uncharacterized. NCBI's taxonomy places the organism in Eukaryota, Metazoa, Chordata, Amphibia, Anura, Pipidae. The transcript has 3 exons. The record is from RefSeq and is a predicted model, not a curated record.